CCUACGGGUGGCAGCAGUGAGGAAUAUUGGUCAAUGGGCGCGAGCCUGAACCAGCCAAGUAGCGUGAAGGAUGACUGCCCUACGGGUUGUAAACUUCUUUUAUCAAGGAAUAAAGUGAGGCACGUGUGCCUUUUUGUAUGUACUUUAUGAAUAAGGAUCGGCUAAAUCCGUGCCAGCAGCCGCGGUAAUACGGGGGGUCCGAGCGUUUACCCGAUUUAUUGGGGUUAAAGGGAGCGUAAGGGGGAUGUUAAGUCAGUGGUGAAAGUUUGCGGCUCAAACGUAAAAUUGCAGUUGAUACUGGCAGUCUUGAGUACAGGUGAGGUAGGCGGAAUGCGUGGUGUAGCGGUGAAAUGCUUAGAUAUCACGCAGAACUCCGAUUGCGAAGGCAGCUUACUAAACUGCCACUGACAUUGAGGCUCGAAAGUGUGGGUAUCAAACAGGAUUAGAUACCCGUGUAGUC
This 460-nucleotide ribosomal RNA is filed under the name uncultured bacterium. Its description in RNAcentral is "partial 16S ribosomal RNA". It matches the Rfam family "Bacterial small subunit ribosomal RNA", at positions 338 to 795 of the family's 1533-position model. The record is from RNAcentral.